GGUGGCUGUGCCCAGGGAGCAGUGCCACUCUCCCUGGCGGUCUGGAUCCUCUUUGGUUCCCCACUAGGGACAGGGGUGGUGUGAGGGAGGGUAGAAACUGCCUCCUAGGAAAAUGAGAAGGAACAGUCCUGCUCCAGCCACUCCCGGCACCCUCUGAGCUGACCAACCCCAGCUCUUGCUGGUGGCAGCAAACGUGGCUGUGGGGAGCAGUCUGUGGGAGGUGAGCCUGACACCUGGAAAUCUUCCUUCUAGUAAAUCUGGAAACUGCCAGGUGGGUUGGCCUGCUUUCCUGGUUUUCUUCAAGCAGGGGCGUAGUGGGAGGAGGGUGCCUCCACGUCAUCACUGCUGGACCUGUGGUGUCUCUGCUGCUGCAGAAUCAGACCAAGGCCCCCAAACACGCUCUCUCUCCUGGUGCCUGGAGGCUGGGGGUGGGGCCCAGGUCCUAGGAGAAUGGGAGUGACCAGAGCCCUCUGAGCCUGGGUUGGUGGGGGUUUGGGACUGGCAGAGGCCAGGGAUGGGGGUGGGUACUGACCACUGGGGUAUGGGUGACUUGGGCUGGUCACAAGCCCUCCCUGGACCUUGGAGCUAUGACAUCCCGGGAGAGUGUUUCUCUCUGCAGGGUAGAUGGCUGCGUGGAGUCGGGGACUUGCACCUGCAGCGGCAUCUGCACGACUCAAAGCAAGGGCAAGCUCUGCUCCGUUGGAGGCUGACGUCUCCCUGCUCUCUGGCAGCAAAUGUGGGGCCAUGGAGGGCAGGAGGGAGGCACUGUUUGCACCAGGCCCUCACCAUACAUCCUGCCACAACCAGAAGAACCAGCCCUGGGCUGCAGAUGGCUCAUUCUGGAGGGUGACUUCAUUUGUCUGAAUAGUCCCCGGAAGCAGGGAGGGUCUAGGGGAAGGCGCCUUGUUGUGUGGAUGGGGACACUGAGGCUCCAAGGAGCAGUGACUCAGCCCUUGUCCCACAGCCUGAGGGGGUCAGUAGUGGAGACGGGCACGGGAGGGGAGUGGGCCCCGCUUCCGUGCUGGGAAGAGGAGCCAAGCCCCAGCUCCUCCCCAACCUCAGGCUCCAGGCAGGGCUAUCUCUCCCUCCUGUAGAGCCUGGGGUCCACAAUUACUGAUGGCGUGAGUGAGGAGGGGUCAGAGUGUAGGAAGGACCAGAGACAGCCCCCAGACUGUGCCCCUCUGCUGGGGAAGAAGCCCUUCUCCACAAAGUGAGUGGGUGGGAGGCUCAGGAGGCCAGAAUGGGGGAGCCCCCCGGUGUGCCCAGAGAGCUGAGCCAGUAGAGGCAGUGGUUGCCAGGGGCUGGUGGGGAGACUUGAGUGACUUUGUCCAAGGACCCCAAGUGGGCCCAGGAUGCUGGGGACAUGUGCCUGGGCUGGAUUAGGGACCCAGCUAUGGGACUCAAGGAGGGACUCACAGUUCGUCCACACACUCCCUGCCCACUGCACAGAAUGUCAUCAAGGCAGAAGCUGCGGAUCUGUGGUUGCCCUGUAGAGCUGCCACACCUGGUCUCGUGUGAGGGACACACAUAUAGGACUCUCAGGCCAGGCCCAUGCCAGUGGUAGCUGCCUUCGGACCCCCCUUGCAGGGGUUGACCUGGCAGUAUGUCUUGUAGGGAGACGGAUGUGGUGGGGGACACUCAUCCAUGGCAUGACAUCGCUCUGCGUCUGGUUUGCACUGAGUCCAGGGGAAGGAGGAGACACCGGUCCUGACCCCAAGAGACAGUGCCUGCCCCAAGGGGACCUGAGGGACUGACAACAGUCCCUCAGCCCUUAUGCAGUGUGGGUCUAUUGUGGCAACCAAGGUUUUGGGGAGAUGAGGGGAACAGAGGGAGCAGAGCCAGGCAGGUCUCCCCACAUGCACAGAGCCGAGGGGAUAACUGAGCUUGACAGAGACCCGUCCUCACCCUGAGCUGUAGUGACCAUUUGAAGAAACAUCCCUGAGAGAGGCCCACUCUUUCUCCCACAACCCCCUGGGGUCCACAGCCUUCCCUGGAGGCACCAGCUUCCCGCUCACACUCCUGGGGUGGGGGCAAUGGGAGCCCCUCUUAGGGGUUUCCUGAGACUCAUACAGGAGUCCGGGCCCCUUGUUUGUGCAGAACAGGCACCCCAAGUGGGUCCAGGCUGCUGAGGACAUGUGCCUGGGCUGGACUGGGGACCCAGCUAUGGGACUCAUGGAGGGACUCACAGUUCGUCCACAGCCACCCUGCCCACUGCACAGAAUGUUUCACCCCGUCAUCAAGGUAGAAGCUGCAGAUCUGUGGUUGGAUCGUGAAGGGCUAUGACAGCCCCACCUUCAGAAGGGGGGCGUCAAACAUGCAGGAGGGGAGAGGACCCCCGAAGGUGGGCCUGGCACUCACAGAUUUCCCCAGAUCCCUGGAGCUGUCACAGGGGCAGAGCCUGGGGCUGGACAUUCGUUCUCCCCCAGGAACCCUGCUCCCUCUGUUUCUCUGCAGGGCCCCAGCACCCCAUCGUGGCCUGACUUUAGUGUAUUGGGAUUGUCUUUACCACCUUCUCCCCCAGAAGACUAUGUCUCCAGGGCUUCUCUGUCUUGUUCUUUGAGUCUGAGUGCCCAGCACAGUGCCAGGCACACAGUAGGUGCUUUAUAAACACCUGCUCAUAAACAUAACGCUAGCCACCAGCCUUUGCCAGGUGCUUUAUUUAUUUGGCCUCAAAUCCCCUAAUAUGCCUGUGACGCAGGGCUGUUAUUCCCAUUUCCCAGACAAGAAAACUGAGGCUCAGAGAGGCUGAAUAUCCUGCCCAAGGUUUCGCCCCUGCUUGCCCCAAUUCCAGGCUGCUCUGUCCUGGCUCAGUGGGGCUCUACUUUUCCUUCCUCCUGCCCUGAAGCCUGUGGCUCUGGCUUGUCCACCCAGGGCUGGGGGCCCUGCAGCAGCCCCCUCUCUCCCCUCAGCUUCUCUGCCCCCCUCCUCAGCCCCCUAAGCUGCCUCCUGCCUUCCCAGUCUGAGUUGGCUGGGGAGCUUGUAAAACAGCCCCACCAGCAGGCUUGUCCUGAGUGGUGCUGAUGCAGGAGUUGGAGCAGGCCUGCGAAUCUUCUUGGGGACUCUGAUGAUCUGUCUGGUUGGAGAAUCACUGCAAGCCAAGGCGUGGCAUUGGCCAAUGGUGAUUCCCGGCCUCCUCAGCCCCCGAGAGCUGUGCACACGGCAGGUGCGUGAUCUAUGGAGUUGGCUGAGCAGUUUGGCGCGUUGGUCAGCAACUUCCUGCAGCUUCUCAGCCCACGCAGAUCCUCAGGUCUGCAGUGCUGGGCUUGUGUAUAAUCCCACCCUGACACCUCCUGGAAUGGGGAACUUGGCGGGGGGCAGUGAGCCAAUGAGAAAGGGGUGUGUGUGCACGCACACACGGUGGGGG
RNAcentral lists this long non-coding RNA (3364 nucleotides) under Pan troglodytes (chimpanzee). RNAcentral describes it as "long non-coding RNA NONPTRT006810". The record is from RNAcentral. Lineage: Eukaryota; Metazoa; Chordata; Mammalia; Primates; Hominidae.